This 440-nucleotide unclassified non-coding RNA is filed under the name Hevea brasiliensis (rubber tree). Lineage: Eukaryota; Viridiplantae; Streptophyta; Magnoliopsida; Malpighiales; Euphorbiaceae. The record is from RNAcentral.
CCCAAGCACGUGCAAGGUGAACAGGUGGCGGCUGGAUGGCCCUCUUGGCUCUCCGCCGUCGCUGGUGAAGCUAUCAAUGGAUGGACCCCGCGACGUGCUGAUACUUUUGAGAAGAUUGACAAGAUUGGGCAGGGUACUUAUAGUAAUGUGUACAAAGCUAGGGAUACUAUGACAGGGAAAAUUGUUGCAUUGAAGAAGGUUCGGUUUGACAAUUUGGAGCCGGAGAGUGUAAAAUUUAUGGCUAGGGAAAUUUUGAUUUUGCGCCGUUUAGAUCAUCCCAAUGUUGUAAAACUGGAAGGUUUGGUCACCUCAAGGAUGUCUUGUAGUCUGUACCUUGUUUUUGAAUACAUGGAGCAUGAUUUGGCUGGACUAGCAGCAAGCCCAAAUAUCAAUUUCACAGAGCCUCAGGUCAAAUGUUAUAUGCAUCAGUUGUUAUCUGG